This is a non-coding RNA of Manis javanica (Malayan pangolin), 1215 nucleotides long. The record is from RefSeq and is a predicted model, not a curated record. Lineage: Eukaryota; Metazoa; Chordata; Mammalia; Pholidota; Manidae.
GUUUCCUAGUGAGAUGAGACACUCUUGAGGACGGGACCUACUUUCUUCCCCUUAUCAAACAGCCCAAAUGCAGAACACAUUGAUACUGCUCAGUAACCAAGCAUGAAGCAAGUUGUAGGAUUCACAAUAUCACGGUUUGCUAUAAAAUGAGCCACUGAUUUAACUUGAUGGAUUCCGGAGAUGCCAGGAAAGAGGGACAGCAUAUCCUCCUUGCCUGGAUCCCAAAUUGGCAGUUGAACAGCUUGGAAGCCAGCAUCUGAAGAGCUGUGGCUGCUGGCUGCUGUAGCCAGUGACGGUCACUCCAAGAUGCUGUACAGAAUGGUCACCUGCCUUUGGCUAUAUGGGCUGAGGAGCUGUCUCUCUUUGAGAACUGUGUAUCUUCCGGGAGAGGGAAAAGGCAAGACAGCAGAGCCACAAAAGGCUCUUAAGGCUUUCCGCUUCCACCAUUUCACUGGCCAAACAUGAUAUCAACUAGCAAUCCUGGAUGGUAGACCAAGAGAAUCAACUGACCUCUUCUGUCAUUGAACCAAUGAGAGACCCAGAAAGAACCAACUGUAGGACUCUUGGCCAAGCUGAAUGUCAACCUCUUCCCAGCCUACUUCCUAAUAUGGAAAAAAGCAUUCAUAUGCAUAGAGGGUAUUCAGUCUAAAGUUAGCCUUAACAGAAGCUAAAAAGACUUGGCCAGAGGUGAGGGAGAAUAAAGAAGAUAUAAAGCUCCCAUGAAAGUGAAAACAUAAAACAGGUAAGAAAGGUGGGCUUUGUAAAAGGUGAGAAGGAAGGCAAAUCCAUUCAUGAAGGAUAUUUGUUGGACGAUCCCAUGCCAGGACUUACCUGCUUAGCCCAGGAAGACAUCUGAGCCUUCCAUCCACGUUGCUGGUAUGAGGAUACUGAGGGCUGGUAUUUCCACUUUUCUAACUCUCCCAUCCCUUUCCUCCAAGCCAGCCUAUACAUCCUCUUUUGUAAUUCAUGCAAAUGGGAGUCUCUGCAUUUUUUGCCAACGUGGGAGUACAUUUGGUUUUCAAGUGCAUGGGAUCAUGUUAUAUUUUGAAAUAAAAAUUGUAAUUGGAUUAUGCUCAAUUGCAGUUGUAAUAGUAUUGGCUCUUGGUAUGGAAUAUGAAUGAGGUCAACUGAAAGGAAGUAAUUCAUUCCUCUAAUGACAACAUCUUGGUUUAUGAAAUGAAAAAAAAGAUCAAAGCUCAUUCAAAAAUAAAUGUA